AGCAGCCGCGGUAAUUCCAGCUCCAAUAGCGUAUAUUAAAGUUGUUGCAGUUAAAAAAGCUCGUAGUUGAAUUUCGGGAUCAAUACGUCGGUCGUGCUUCGGUACGUACUGGCGUAAUUGAUUUCUCCCUUCUGACGAACCAUGAUGUCAUUAACUUGGUGUCAUGGGAAAUCAGGACUGUUACUUUGAAAAAAAUUAGAGUGUUUAAAGCAGGCUCACGCUUGAAUACAUUAGCAUGGAAUAAUGAAAAUAGGACGUUCGAUCCUAUUUUGUUGGUUUCUAGGAUUGACGUAAUGAUUAAUAGGGAUAGUUGGGGGCAUUAGUAUUCAAUUGUCAGAGGUGAAAUUCUUGGAUUUAUUGAAGACUAACUACUGCGAAAGCAUUUGCCAAGGAUG
RNAcentral lists this ribosomal RNA (395 nucleotides) under uncultured Glomus. RNAcentral's name for it is "SSU rRNA". It matches the Rfam family "Eukaryotic small subunit ribosomal RNA", at positions 569 to 966 of the family's 1831-position model. Lineage: Eukaryota; Fungi; Glomeromycota; Glomeromycetes; Glomerales; Glomeraceae. The record is from RNAcentral.